UACGUAGGGGGCUAGCGUUGUCCGGAAUUAUUGGGCGUAAAGAGCUCGUAGGCGGUUUGUCGCGUCUGCCGUGAAAGUCCGGGGCUCAACUCCGGAUCUGCGGUGGGUACGGGCAGACUAGAGUGAUGUAGGGGAGACUGGAAUUCCUGGUGUAGCGGUGAAAUGCGUAGAUAUCAGGAGGAACACCGGUGGCGAAGGCGGCUACCUGGACAGAAACUGACGCUGAGGCGCGAAAGCUAGGGGAGCAAACAGG
Molecule: ribosomal RNA, 253 nt
Filed under: uncultured bacterium
Lineage: Bacteria
Description: partial 16S ribosomal RNA
Rfam family: Bacterial small subunit ribosomal RNA
Source: RNAcentral